Molecule: ribosomal RNA, 424 nt
Filed under: uncultured prokaryote
Description: bacterial SSU rRNA
Rfam family: Bacterial small subunit ribosomal RNA
Source: RNAcentral
UGGGGAAUCUUGGGCGAUGGGGGCAACCCUGAUCCAGCCAUGCCGCGUGAGUGAUGAAGGCCCUAGGGUCGUAAAGCUCUUUCGCCUGUGAAGAUAAUGACGGUAGCAGGUAAAGAAACCCCGGCUAACUCCGUGCCAGCAGCCGCGGUAAUACGGAGGGGGUUAGCGUUGUUCGGAAUUACUGGGCGUAAAGCGCACGUAGGCGGACUUUUAAGUCGGGGGUGAAAUCCCGGGGCUCAACCCCGGAACUGCCUUCGAUACUGGAGGUCUUGAGGACGAGAGAGGUGAGUGGAAUUCCGAGUGUAGAGGUGAAAUUCGUAGAUAUUCGGAGGAACACCAGUGGCGAAGGCGGCUCACUGGCUCGAUACUGACGCUGAGGUGCGAAAGGGUGGGGAGCAAACAGGAUUAGAUACCCCCGUAGUCC